CCUACGGGAGGCAGCAGUGGGGGAUAUUGCACAAUGGGGGAAACCCUGAUGCAGCGACGCCGCGUGGGCGAAGAAGUAUUUCGGUAUGUAAAGCCCUAUCAGCAGGGAAGAAGAAAUGACGGUACCUGAGUAAGAAGCACCGGCUAAAUACGUGCCAGCAGCCGCGGUAAUACGUAUGGUGCAAGCGUUAUCCGGAUUUACUGGGUGGAAAGGGAGCGCAGGCGGCACGGCAAGCCUGAUGUGAAAGCCCGCGGCCCAACCGCGGGACUGCAGUGGGAACUACCGGGCUGGAGUGCCGGAGAGGUAGGCGGAAUUCCUGGUGUAGCGGUGAAAUGCGUAGAUAUUAGGAGGAACACCAGUGGCGAAGGCGGCAUACUGGACGGUGACUGACGCUGAGGCUCGAAAGCGUGGGGAGCAAACAGGAUUAGAUACCCCUGUAGUC
This 442-nucleotide ribosomal RNA is filed under the name uncultured bacterium. Its description in RNAcentral is "partial 16S ribosomal RNA". It matches the Rfam family "Bacterial small subunit ribosomal RNA", at positions 338 to 795 of the family's 1533-position model. The record is from RNAcentral.